GCUUAAUAGCUGUAGGUCCAGUGUAAGAGUUCCGCUAUUCGGUCUCACACCUACAGUGGACUACCCGAUUUUUCGCUUCUCUUCAGGGAUGAGUCAUGUGGUGGUGAAAAAUGACCCUGAACUGGACCAGCAGGUGAGUCAAACUUGCUAAUCUGGACCUGAACUCUGAAAAACAGAGUGGAGGAGCAAGUACAGCGAGCAAAGGGCGCUAUAUACCUCCUCACUUAAGGAACAGAGAAGCAUCUAAAGGAUUCCAUGAUAAAGACAGUUCAGGUUGGAGUUGCAGCAAAGAUAAGGAUGCAUAUAGCAGUUUUGGGUCUCGAGAUUCUAGAGGAAAGCCUGGUUAUUUCAGUGAACGUGGAAGUGGAUCAAGGGGAAGGUAAAUCUCAGCUUGUGUUUGUAUACAGUAGAAAUUUAGAAAUUUUAAUUUGGUAGGUUCUCAUUCUUCAUACUUUCAGUGGUCAAGCAUAUCUUUAACAGAUUACUAAUGGAUUUAAAGCAGAAUGUUGGUUUACUCAUUGUUUUGUUAGCAGUAAGAGGUCUUUAUUAAUUUAUUAAAUUAGAUGAAUAUGGUAUUUGACACAGUGAAAUCUGUUUCAACUUAAAUGAUACUUAAAGCCUGUCUGUGACAGCUUUAAACACUUCAUUUUUGAUGUGUGUUAUAAGUUGAUCUUAAAAACCUAAUGGCUGUAUUUAAUCCUUUCUGUUUUUCACAAAUAGGAGUAAAACUCUAAAAAUAUUCUCUUGUCACAUGUCUACUUUCAUAUAAAGGAGAAAUUCAAGUGUUAUUCCUGCUUUCCUACUAGUAAAUAUAUUUAGAUGAUACUAUUUUAAAUGAAGAUGUAAAGUACGUAACUAGUUAUAAGUAUCUAAAAACCUAAUUCUUAGCAUGUGAGGUCUAAGCUGUGUGAUUUUAUAAAAAUUUUUAUAAUUUUC
Molecule: long non-coding RNA, 936 nt
Filed under: Homo sapiens (human)
Lineage: Eukaryota; Metazoa; Chordata; Mammalia; Primates; Hominidae
Description: HSALNT0288333
Source: RNAcentral